CCUACGGGAGGCAGCAGUGGGGAAUAUUGCACAAUGGGCGCAAGCCUGAUGCAGCCAUGCCGCGUGUGUGAAGAAGGCCUUCGGGUUGUAAAGCACUUUCAGCGGGGAGGAAGGCGUUAAGGUUAAUAACCUUGUCGAUUGACGUUACCCGCAGAAGAAGCACCGGCUAACUCCGUGCCAGCAGCCGCGGUAAUACGGAGGGUGCAAGCGUUAACCGGAAUUACUGGGCGUAAAGCGCACGCAGGCGGUCUGUCAAGUCGGAUGUGAAAUCCCCGGGCUCAACCUGGGAACUGCAUUCGAAACUGGCAGGCUAGAGUCUUGUAGAGGGGGGUAGAAUUCCAGGUGUAGCGGUGAAAUGCGUAGAGAUCUGGAGGAAUACCGGUGGCGAAGGCGGCCCCCUGGACAAAGACUGACGCUCAGGUGCGAAAGCGUGGGGAGCAAACAGGAUUAGAUACCCGAGUAGUC
This 465-nucleotide ribosomal RNA is filed under the name uncultured Klebsiella sp. RNAcentral's name for it is "bacterial SSU rRNA". It matches the Rfam family "Bacterial small subunit ribosomal RNA", at positions 338 to 795 of the family's 1533-position model. The record is from RNAcentral. Lineage: Bacteria; Pseudomonadati; Pseudomonadota; Gammaproteobacteria; Enterobacterales; Enterobacteriaceae.